GAUGAACGCUGGCGGCGUGCCUGAUACAUGCAAGUCGAGCGAAUGGAUUAAGAGCUUGCUCUUAUGAAGUUAGCGGCGGACGGGUGAGUAACACGUGGGUAACCUGCCCAUAAGACUGGGAUAACUCCGGGAAACCGGGGCUAAUACCGGAUAACAUUUUGAACCGCAUGGUUCGAAAUUGAAAGGCGGCUUCGGCUGUCACUUAUGGACGGACCCGCGUCGCAUUAGCUAGUUGGUGAGGUAACGGCUCACCAAGGCAACGAUGCGUAGCCGACCUGAGAGGGUGAUCGGCAACCGUGGGACUGAGACACGGCCCAGAAUCCGACGGGAGGAAGCAGUAGGGAAUCUUCCGCAAUGGACGAAAGUCUGACGGAGCAACGCCGCGUGAGUGAUGAAGGCUUUCGGGUCGUAAAACUCUGUUGUUAGGGAAGAACAAGUGCUAGUUGAAUAAGCUGGCACCUUGACGGUACCUAACCAGAAAGCCACGGCUAACUACGUGCCAGCCGCCGCCGUAA
RNAcentral lists this ribosomal RNA (515 nucleotides) under uncultured bacterium. Its description in RNAcentral is "partial 16S ribosomal RNA". It matches the Rfam family "Bacterial small subunit ribosomal RNA", at positions 28 to 523 of the family's 1533-position model. The record is from RNAcentral.